AACGGAUCAAAAACAACACAGUACCUGCUCAUAUAUAUAACAGAUCCAUACCAUGUGUGAACUAAAAUGUGGUCUAUAAUAUUUUAUAAACAGAAUAAUAUAUAACAGAAUAGGCUACAAUAACUAGUAAAAAGUGAGUGUAUGGGCAAAUACUUUCCACGCUUUUCAGGCUCCACAAAUGUUGCCUCCUCAUCUUCUUCAGAGA
Molecule: unclassified non-coding RNA, 205 nt
Filed under: Hevea brasiliensis (rubber tree)
Lineage: Eukaryota; Viridiplantae; Streptophyta; Magnoliopsida; Malpighiales; Euphorbiaceae
Source: RNAcentral